RNAcentral lists this transfer RNA (94 nucleotides) under Thelazia callipaeda (thelaziosis nematode). It matches the Rfam family "tRNA". From Rfam's summary of the family: Transfer RNA (tRNA) molecules are approximately 80 nucleotides in length. Their secondary structure includes four short double-helical elements and three loops (D, anti-codon, and T loops). Further hydrogen bonds mediate the characteristic L-shaped molecular structure. tRNAs have two regions of fundamental functional importance: the anti-codon, which is responsible for specific mRNA codon recognition, and the 3' end, to which the tRNAs corresponding amino acid is attached (by aminoacyl-tRNA synthetases). tRNAs cope with the degeneracy of the genetic code in two manners: having more than one tRNA (with a specific anti-codon) for a particular amino acid; and 'wobble' base-pairing, i.e. permitting non-standard base-pairing at the 3rd anti-codon position. The record is from Rfam by way of RNAcentral. Lineage: Eukaryota; Metazoa; Nematoda; Chromadorea; Rhabditida; Thelaziidae.
CCAACCAUAGCUCAGUUGGUAGAGCGGAGGACUGUAGAGUAGUGCAAUCGUUGUAGAAAUCCUUAGGUCGCUGGUUCGAAUCCGGCUGGUUGGA